Molecule: long non-coding RNA, 323 nt
Filed under: Xyrichtys novacula (pearly razorfish)
Lineage: Eukaryota; Metazoa; Chordata; Actinopteri; Labriformes; Labridae
Source: RNAcentral
UUUUUAGGGCCCGAGCCAGCUGCAGAGCAGCUGGGCGUAGAGCCCUAUUAUUCCUGAUGAGUUUUUCUUUCUUCUUUCUUUCUUUCUUUCUUUCUUUCUUUCUUUCUUUCUUCUUAUUUUUCCUCCCCUUUGAAGGGGAAAAUGGCCCACUUCCCACUGGCGAAAACUCAUGAAAUUUGGCAGGAUGACCGGGCCUGGUGAAAAAUUCGAUAUUCUGAAGUCGCCCAAACAAUAAAAUGCAAAAUGGCUCCAUAGCGCCCCCUAAGGUGGAAAUUCACACUAUUGACUGUCACGCCUGUACGCUUUGUCAUAUUGACACAAAA